ACGAAUUAAGGCUUGUGGAAUUGCCGUCUUAUAAAACUGAAUAUCAGAGUUGACGAUCCUAUCAAUGGAAAGGAAAGAAGCUUGCAUUUCAGCAAUUAGACCUAUCUCGAAAACGGAUAGCUAGAGCAGAAACAAAGUCAACUGAAAGUCGGAAAAGA
Molecule: long non-coding RNA, 158 nt
Organism: Symsagittifera roscoffensis
Lineage: Eukaryota; Metazoa; Xenacoelomorpha; Acoela; Convolutidae
Exons: 2
Source: RefSeq, a predicted model, not a curated record